This 213-nucleotide long non-coding RNA is filed under the name Vombatus ursinus (common wombat). RNAcentral's name for it is "lncRNA (ENSVURG00010008777.1)". Lineage: Eukaryota; Metazoa; Chordata; Mammalia; Diprotodontia; Vombatidae. The record is from RNAcentral.
CACAGAGAGACGCAGUCACCCACAGCCUCGGGACACAGGAGAAGUUAUCAUGGCCAGAGUCCCUGACAUGUUUGAGGAGCUCAAUCCCUGCAACAGUGAAAAUGAGGGAUUUAUUUUGGAUACUGACCAAGUCUCACUGAGUCAGGUAAGGCAGUGCUUGUCAAUCUCCUAAGAUUUCUGUGCUUGGAGAAAUGUGAUCGGUUGUUCUUAUCU